GGGAGUUGACUUGCCAAAUGUCACAAGGCUGAAACGUGGAUACUGGCAGUCUCCUCCCUUCUCACAGAUGGAAAAUUAUGGGCCAAAGCCAACAGAAGUCAACUGGGUGCUGGAAACCAGCUUACGAGAGAGUUAGCAAAACAUGUGAAGGAAGGGAAGAGAAACUGGUACAAUCUUAUAGAUCCCCCCUGCUUCUUCUUUCAGGAUCAGGUGUGGGUUCUGGAAAUCUACCUGCUUUGCCCACUGAGACGCUACAGCAGAGAAGCUCAGCACCCUAUUAAACCUUAUUAAGCUGAAUGGGAGUUACUCCCAACUAUAAGUAUACAUGGAUUGCAGCCUCAAGCACCUAAGAUUGCCUGCUAUGGGUAGCGCAGAUCCAUAAACGCCGCCUUACCUAUCCGCCACACAGGAAUGCAAGGGAGAACCAGCCACAGAACAAACAAUGUGGAGUUGAUGGAGAUGGAGAGAUUCCAGUUUUGUGCCUAAGAGCCUUUCAAGGAAACACAAAUGCCUGAACCACUAAUAGACUCUUGGCAUCCCAGCUAGAGUCACUGCAUGUGCUCACCCUAGUCAUUUUGGUGUCUCCUCCCUGUGACUCAGCCCUUGCUGAUAUCUAGCAACAGAGAGUGCUUCUAAGUUAAUUACACACAUUGCAACUGGAAGUAUUUGCACCAAGCUGGAGACUCUGCAAGAGUUCUUUCGGUCAUGCAGAAGUGCCUGUGGUAAAUCAAGCCACUCCCCUCCUCAUUUGUUCCCAGGUCUACCUUCACGUGGCCAUAGCGGUUUGGGCAACACAUAGACCAAACAUAGCUCAUCAAUGGACAAUACACUUUAGUCCACGCUAGCAGAUGAGUUAAACUUUUAAACCAUAUGCAAAGUUGGAUAGAAGUUAUGGCCCCACAUCUUUCCCAAGCCCAUAGUGUAGUCACUAGACAUGCAGUUUAAGGAGCAAUCUUGUGCCAUCCUGUCCUUUCUAAUCUUUGAAAAAGAUAAUAGGGCUUCUCCAUACAUCCUUUUCAUUGUGCUUGUGUUUGCGAUAGUAUUGGGUAGAAUCAUAGUAUUGCAGAUGUUUUGUUAUGUUUUUAUAUGUCCUGGAAGCUGCCCAGAGUGGCUGGGGAAAUCCAGCCAGGUGGGCGGGGUAUAACAACAACAACAACAACAACAACAACAACAACAGUUGUUGGAAGUGACCCCAAGGGUCAUCUAGUCCAACCCCCUGCAAUGCAGGAAUCUCAGCGAUAGCAUCCGUGACAGAUGGCGUAGGUAUAUGCGAUCUUGCUUUCAGUACUAUUUGUGCCUGCAAAUGUUUCGGGGCGGACAUACUGCCUCAUUUCGUGUCUGCUGAAAUCCUGUAACUUUUCAUACCACAAGAUUCUGGCUUAUUUAUUUAUUUUGUCCCAUUUUUAUUGUGCUAUAUAGUUGUACCUUGGUUCUCAAAUGCCUUGGUACUCAAAACCAAACAGUGCUAACCUAGAGGUAAGUGUUCCGGUUUGCGAACUUUUUCCGGAAGCUGAACUUACUCCGUUUUGAGUGUUACGCUUCCGAUUUGAGUGCCACACUUCUGUUUUGAGCGUUACACUGAGGUCUGUCUGUUUUUUGCUAUUUAUUUUACGUUUUUGUGACUUUUUGUGUGUGACUGUGUGGAACUCAGUUCAGCUACUGAUUGAUUGAUUGAUUGAUUGAUUGUGUGACUGCAGUACGUUGUUUACUGCUUUCAUUUUAUGGAUCAACGGUCUCGUCAGAGAGUAAAAUUCAUGUUAAAUUGCUGUUUUAGAGGUUGUUUUUAAAAGUCUGGAAUGGAUUAAUCUGUUUUGCAUUACUUUCUAUGGGAAAGCAUGCCUUGGUUUUGGAAUGCUUUGGUUUUGGAACGGACUUCCAGAACGGAUUAAGUUUGAGAACCAAGGUACCACUGUAGUGCAAAAGUGCCUGUCCGGAUGGCUAUAAUGCAGUAACAAAGAGGAAGCAUAGCAGAGCAACUAAUAAAGCAGAAUGAUGUGCGGAUGGUCCAGAGUAAAUCUACCACUAAUGCACAAUUAUUGCAUCACUGGCGUGUCACAGAAGACACCAGCAAAAAAGGCAAACACACACAAGGCAGGAGGGGCCCUGAGACUGGCUGACUGAGAUGGGGAGAUAACGUUUAACAGUGAGGAAGCCAAGGCUGCAAUUUUAUGCAUGCUUGCUUGGGUCAGUAUCAGCCUCACUGCAGAAAUUACCGUAACAGGUAAUAAACAUUGAGUAAAUGGAAUAAAGUGCUGCCUGUAGGCAGCAUAAGAUUUAUCUGCAAGGCUGUCGUCCUCAAAACAUUAGUGUGCAAUUUACUUCUACUGAAGCUAGUUAUUUCGGAUCCCAAAUAAUUAACUGGAAGACAUAGCCAUCAAGGAGACUUAUAACCCACUUCCUUUCUGCAAAAUUGGGACCCAUAAGGAAAUUAAACAGGACAUCUUAUGGGAAAGGUGUUGCCCUAAAAGUUUUAUGAAUCUUGCUGCGAGGCUCUGAAGCUGCUUACUUAGAGUGUAAGGUAACAUUUGAACUUUUCACUCCCAAGCAACAAUGCUUCACACACCCACCUCUGCCCCAUUUCUUCUUUCUUUGGGAAAAAUAGUUGUGGUCACCAUUCUGCUUUUAUGCCUCCGUGUAUUACUAACUAAUAAAAAUUUUAGUCUCUCUCUCUCCCCCCCCCCCGUGGUAUUUAUUGCACUCUUAGUUAUCUACCUAAAUGGCUUCAAAGCUGUCUGCUUUGCAAGACAAAUAAGAAAGGAAGGAUAAAAGCCAGAGGGAAAUGUGUGGACUACAAGCAAGCCUGCAUGACAUUGAGGCCUCUUCAAGCAAAAACCAUUUAUUCGGCAGUCAUCCUGAUUUGUUUCCAAAGAGGUUGGAAGACACAGGUGUUAUCCCACACUUUCUGGUUCAUUUCCCCAUCACUUGCCUUACAGCAAAAAGCCUGAACUUUUUGGGAAGAAGUUUUGUUGCACAAUUCCUAACCUCAACUACCAUUGUACAACCUGAAAUUGCUGGUCUGUGACUGAAUUCCAUCCCAAAAUAGCGGUAGUUUGGAAGCACCCGUACUGUACAUUCUAUUGAAAUAAAUGAGAGCUUUGCAGAAAAUAAAAUAAGACCUAUGUAUGGUGAAACAAAGAGGAAUGAAGCCUGAAAAUCCACUUGCUGGAUUGCAGACAUAACAUUAAUGGUGAAGGAAUUAUAUACAACAGCUCUAUAAACUACAAGGAAGGAAAAAGUACCAGUAAACCUCUCUGCCUGACAUUUUGGACAAAUAUCCUUGCACAACACUAAGAUCCAAUAAAGAUCUAAAUUCCAAUCUAUGUUCUGCAUGUAAUUUUGAGAAGACAGAAGUUGUAGCCAUGGAAUAAAGUUGCUAUCUAUUUCAAAGAGUGACUCCAUUUUCUCAGUUACAUUAUGGAUUAUUAUGGCC
This 3430-nucleotide long non-coding RNA is filed under the name Podarcis lilfordi (Lilford's wall lizard). Lineage: Eukaryota; Metazoa; Chordata; Lepidosauria; Squamata; Lacertidae. The record is from RNAcentral.